CGGUAGCAGGAAGUGCUUGCACUUCGCUGACGAGUGGCGGACGGGUGAGUAAUGCUUGGGAACUUGCCUUUAGGUGGGGGAUAACAGUUGGAAACGACUGCUAAUACCGCAUAAUGUCUACGGACCAAAGGGGGCUUCGGCUCCCGCCUUGAGAGAGGCCCAAGUGAGAUUAGCUAGUUGGUGGGGUAAAGGCCUACCAAGGCAACGAUCUCUAGCUGUUCUGAGAGGAAGAUCAGCCACACUGGGACUGAGACACGGCCCAGACUCCUACGGGAGGCAGCAGUGGGGAAUAUUGCACAAUGGGGGAAACCCUGAUGCAGCCAUGCCGCGUGUGUGAAGAAGGCCUUCGGGUUGUAAAGCACUUUCAGUUGUGAGGAAAGGUUGGUAGUUAAUACCUGCCAGCUGUGACGUUAACAACAGAAGAAGCACCGGCUAACUCCGUGCCAGCAGCCGCGGUAAUACGGAGGGUGCGAGCGUUAAUCGGAAUUACUGGGCGUAAAGCGCACGCAGGCGGCUUGUUAAGCUAGAGGUGAAAGCCCCGCGCUCAACGUGGGAACUGCCUUUAGAACUGGCAGGCUAGAGUCUUGGAGAGGGGAGUGGAAUUCCAGGUGUAGCGGUGAAAUGCGUAGAUAUCUG
Molecule: ribosomal RNA, 636 nt
Filed under: Alteromonadaceae bacterium GUDS1495
Lineage: Bacteria; Pseudomonadati; Pseudomonadota; Gammaproteobacteria; Alteromonadales; Alteromonadaceae
Description: bacterial SSU rRNA
Rfam family: Bacterial small subunit ribosomal RNA
Source: RNAcentral